UAAGGGUUCGAUUCCGGAGAGGGAGCCUGAGAAACGGCUACCACAUCCAAGGAAGGCAGCUGGCGCGCAAAUUACCCAAUCCCGACACGGGGAGGUAGUGACAAUAAAUAACAAUAUAGGGCUCUUUUGGGUCUUAUAAUUGGAAUGAGUACAAUUUAAAUCCCUUAACGAGGAACAAUUGGAGGGCAAGUCUGGUGCCAGCAGCCGCGGUAAUUCCAGCUCCAAUAGCGUAUAUUAAAGUUGCUGCAGUUAAAAAGCUCGUAGUUGAAUUUCGGGACCAUCAUGUCGGUUGUGCCUAGGUACGUACUGGCAUUGUUGGUUUCUCCCUUCUGACGAACCAUGAUGUCAUUUAUUUGGUGUUGUGGGGAAUCAGGACUGUUACUUUGAAAAAAUUAGAGUGUUUAAAGCAGGCUCACGCUUGAAUACAUUAGCAUGGAAUAAUGAAAUAGAACGUUUGAUUCUAUUUUGUUGGUUUCUAGGAUCGACGUAAUGAUUAAUAGGGAUAGUUGGGGGCAUUAGUAUUCAAUUGUCAGAGGUGAAAUUCUUGGAUUUAUUGAAGACUAACUACUGCGAAAGCAUUUGCCAAGGAUGUUUUCAUUAAUCAAGAACGAAAGUUAGGGGAUCGAAGACGAUCAGAUACCGUCGUAGUCUUAACCAUAAACUAUGCCGACUAGGGAUCGGAUGA
Molecule: ribosomal RNA, 685 nt
Filed under: uncultured Glomeromycotina
Lineage: Eukaryota; Fungi; Glomeromycota
Description: SSU rRNA
Rfam family: Eukaryotic small subunit ribosomal RNA
Source: RNAcentral